ACUCAAAUGAAUUGACGGGGACCCGCACAAGCGGUGGAGCAUGUGGUUUAAUUCGUCACUAACCGAAGAACCUUACCGAGGUUUGACAUCCCUGGAAAGCCCUGGAAACAGGGCCGUGCCCGCAAGGGAGCCAGGUGACAGAUGCUGCACGGCUGUCGUCAGCUCGUGCUGUGAAGUGUACGGUUAAGUCCGUAAACGAGCGCAACCCUUAUUGUAUGUUGAAUUUUUCAUACGAGACCGCCAGGUCAACCUGGAGGAAGGUGGGGAUGACGUCAAGUCAGCGUGGCUCUUACACCUCGGGCUACACACGUGCUACAAUGGACAGUAACAAAGGGUUGCUAAAGCGCAAGCUGGAGCUAAUCCCAUCAAACCUGUCCUCAGUUCGGAUCGAAGGCUGCAACUCGCCUUCGUGAAGUCGGAAUCGCUAGUAACGGUAGGUCAGCUAUACUGCCGUGAAUACGUUCUCGGGUCUUGUACACACCGCCCGU
RNAcentral lists this ribosomal RNA (488 nucleotides) under uncultured bacterium. RNAcentral describes it as "partial 16S ribosomal RNA". It matches the Rfam family "Bacterial small subunit ribosomal RNA", at positions 899 to 1397 of the family's 1533-position model. The record is from RNAcentral.